GAUGAACGCUGGCGGCGUGCCUAAUACAUGCAAGUCGAGCGAACAGAUAAGGAGCUUGCUCCUUUGACGUUAGCGGCGGACGGGUGAGUAACACGUGGGUAACCUACCUAUAAGACUGGGAUAACUUCGGGAAACCGGAGCUAAUACCGGAUAACAUUUGGAACCGCAUGGUUCUAAAGUGAAAGAUGGUUUUGCUAUCACUUAUAGAUGGACCCGCGCCGUAUUAGCUAGUUGGUAAGGUAACGGCUUACCAAGGCGACGAUACGUAGCCGACCUGAGAGGGUGAUCGGCCACACUGGAACUGAGACACGGUCCAGACUCCUACGGGAGGCAGCAGUAGGGAAUCCUCCGCAAUAGGCGAAAGCCUGACGGAGCAACGCCGCGUGAGUGAUGAAGGGUUUCGGCUCGUAAAACUCUGUUAUUAGGGAAGAACAAAUGUGUAAGUAACUGUGCACGUCUUGACGGUACCUAAUCAGAAAGCCACGGCUAACUACGUG
Molecule: ribosomal RNA, 497 nt
Filed under: uncultured bacterium
Lineage: Bacteria
Description: partial 16S ribosomal RNA
Rfam family: Bacterial small subunit ribosomal RNA
Source: RNAcentral